GAUGAAGAACGUAGCGAAAUGCGAUAAGUAAUGUGAAUUGCAGAAUUCAGUGAAUCAUCGAAUCUUUGAACGCACCUUGCGCCCUUUGGCCAUUCCGAAGGGCAUGCCUGUUUGAGUAUCAUGAACACCUCAACUCUCAUGGCUCGCCAUGAUGAGCUUGGACUUUGGGGGUCUUGCUGGCCUGUGGUCGGCUCCUCUCAAAUGGAUCAGCUUGCCAGUGUUUGGUGGCAUCACAGGUGUGAUAACUAUCUGCGCUUGUGGUUUUCCAUCAGAUAACCUUCAGUGAUGGAGGUUCGCUGGAGCUCAUAAACGUCUCCCCUAAGCGGGGACAGCCCUUUGAAUGUUUGAUCUCAAAUCAGGUAGGACUACCCGCUGAACUUAAGAAUAUCAAUAAGCGGAGGA
RNAcentral lists this unclassified non-coding RNA (402 nucleotides) under soil metagenome. RNAcentral describes it as "partial contains 5.8S ribosomal RNA, internal transcribed spacer 2, and large subunit ribosomal RNA". The stretch from base 1 to 121 matches the Rfam family "5.8S ribosomal RNA", at positions 35 to 154 of the family's 154-position model. The record is from RNAcentral.